UACGAAGGGGGCUAGCGUUGUUCGGAAUCACUGGGCGUAAAGGGCGCGUAGGCGGCUAUCUAAGUCGGAUGUGAAAUCCCUCGGCUUAACCAAGGAAGUGCACCCGAAACUGGAUAGCUUGAGUACAGAAGAGGAUCGCGGAAUUCCCGGUGUAGAGGUGAAAUUCGUAGAUAUCGGGAGGAACACCAGUGGCGAAGGCGGCGAUCUGGGCUGAUACUGACGCUGAGGUGCGAAAGCGUGGGGAGCAAACAGG
Molecule: ribosomal RNA, 253 nt
Filed under: uncultured bacterium
Lineage: Bacteria
Description: partial 16S ribosomal RNA
Rfam family: Bacterial small subunit ribosomal RNA
Source: RNAcentral